RNAcentral lists this unclassified non-coding RNA (349 nucleotides) under soil metagenome. RNAcentral describes it as "partial contains 5.8S ribosomal RNA, internal transcribed spacer 2, and large subunit ribosomal RNA". The stretch from base 1 to 120 matches the Rfam family "5.8S ribosomal RNA", at positions 35 to 154 of the family's 154-position model. The record is from RNAcentral.
GAUGAAGAACGCAGCGAAAUGCGAUAAGUAAUGUGAAUUGCAGAAUUCAGUGAAUCAUCGAAUCUUUGAACGCACAUUGCGCCCGCCAGUAUUCUGGCGGGCAUGCCUGUCCGAGCGUCAUUUCAACCCUCGAACCCCUCCGGGGGGUCGGCGUUGGGGAUCGGCCCCUCACCGGGCCGCCCCCGAAAUCCAGUGGCGGUCUCGCCGCAGCCUCUCCUGCGCAGUAGUUUGCACACUCGCACCGGGAGCGCGGCGCGGCCACAGCCGUAAAACACCCCAAACUCUGAAAUGUUGACCUCGGAUCAGGUAGGAAUACCCGCUGAACUUAAGAAUAUCAAUAAGCGGAGGA